ACACUACUCAUAACAAUGUCGAUUUCGUUCUCGCAAGAGCUGCUCAUCCCCACCGUACUCGUGCUUCUUGUUUCCCUGUCCUUGUACUUCAGGUCUAGUAAUAGAUCAAAGAAUCCAUCGGUGCUCCCAAUCGACUGGCCAAUAGUGCACAUGUUGCCGGCAUUCAUUGCCAACCUCCAUAACUUGUGUGACUAUUGUGCUGCGAGCCUCGCCGAAUCAGGCCACAACUUCAGGAUACAUCUUCCCCAAGCGCACAUGUUCCUCACUUGCGACCCUGUGAACAUCCGGCACAUCUUCACGACGAACCACACAAACUUCCCAAAGGGUGUGGAGUUCGCAGCCAUCUUCGACAUCAUGGCUGGAAGCUUCUUCACCAUUGAUGGUGAGCCGUAUCACCGGCAGCGCGUGAAAUUUCAUAGCGUGCUCGGCAACCCACGGUUGGUUGCCAGUAUGGUAGCUUGCUGCCGCGACAAGAUGGAGAAUGGCCUCCUCCCAUUGUUCACCCAAAUGGCGAGCACCGGCACUCCAUUCGACAUGCAAGAAGUGGUUUCGAGGUUUAUGUUUGACCUGGCUGCCACAUCACUCUUUGGUGUGGACACUAGCCUCUUAUCCUUGGACAUGCCUCCCAUGGACGUUGCGAUUGCGAUGGACACGGUAAUGGAGGUAGCCCUUUUCCGGCACAUCCUGCCGGCCUCUUGCUGGAAGGCUAUGAGGUGGCUAAACAUCGGCCCAGAGAGAAAGCUCGAUGCGGCACACACGGUGCUACGAGGGUUUGUCACAGAUAUGAUCAAGAAGAAGAUUAACAGAGGCUGUAUUGGUAAUGAAGAGGAGCAAGAAAGUGCAGAUAUUCUAUCUUCCUACAUCAACGAUCCAGACUAUGCCGAUGUUGAAUUGCUCCAUGCGAUGCUCCUCGCUUUUAUGCUCGCUGGGAAGGACACAAUUGGCGUGACCUUGAUAUGGACCUUCUACAAGCUCGCCCAGAAUCCUAAGAUUGUGUCAAUCAUCCGCAGUGAACUCUCACCCAUUGCAUUACACAAAAUAGACACGGGUACGGGCGCCAUGGUAAUCUUUGACCCAGAGGAGACAAAAUCCAUUGUCUACUUGAGAGCUGUCUUGUAUGAGACUCUCAGAUUGUACCCACCGGCCCCUUUCGAGCGCAAGACAAUGGUUGCUGAUAAUAUCAUGCCGAGUGGUCAUGAGGUGCACGCCGGCGAAACCAUCCUUAUUUCACUCCACUCCAUGGGGAGGAUGGAGGACAUAUGGGGCAAGGAUUGUCACGACUACAACCCGCAUAGGUGGCUCUUGGAGGGUAGCAACAAGUUGAGGUAUGAACCAUCUCACAAGUUUUUGUCCUUCAACUCGGGUCCAAGGAUUUGCCCUGGGAAGGAAAUCGCUGUUAUCCAAAUGAGAACCAUCGUUGCCACGGUGGUAUGGAACUUUGACUUGGAGGUGGUGAAAGGACAGAGUAUCGAGCCGAAGUUGUCUUGUACACUACAGAUGAAAAAUGGGCUCAUAGUGAAGCUGAAGAAGCGUGAAAUACGUGAAAUAUAA
RNAcentral lists this ribosomal RNA (1551 nucleotides) under Triticum aestivum (bread wheat). RNAcentral's name for it is "partial small subunit ribosomal RNA". Lineage: Eukaryota; Viridiplantae; Streptophyta; Magnoliopsida; Poales; Poaceae. The record is from RNAcentral.